RNAcentral lists this long non-coding RNA (1389 nucleotides) under Fukomys damarensis (Damara mole-rat). RNAcentral describes it as "lncRNA (ENSFDAG00000030134.1)". Lineage: Eukaryota; Metazoa; Chordata; Mammalia; Rodentia; Bathyergidae. The record is from RNAcentral.
AUGCUCAGAAGGUCUCAGAAUUCCCUGUCUCAUAAUUCCACCGCCCUGAAGGUUCCAAUCCGGGUGCAGAGCUCCAGUCAGCUCCUUGGUGGAAGGACCGGAGGGCUGACUGCGUGCCGUGGCGUGGCUGCAGCAAGAUCCCCCCAGAGGAGUUGGGCGGGAAGGUGCUGCCUACGAGGGGCUGCGGUGCUCCAGACCUCAGCCCCCUUGAUGUCUUCAGCCCAGGUCACCAACAAUGCUUGGGGUGAGGAGAGGGCACCAUCCCCUUUGAUGUCCUGGGAGCCUGCGUGUGUUUGAGGAUUGCCACAAACAGACGAUGACUCCGGCCAGAUGUGGAGGACGACAGUCACUGCGCUGCCUGGCAAUGCAAAGACGCCCGCGGCCCAGACUCCUCUUCCUCAGCCCCUGAGACGUAGACUGUCUCAGGCCGCCCCAUGCUCCAGGCUGGGAACCACACCACGGUGCCUGCUGCCACUCAGCCCUCUGCUCCCCUGGCCAGCUGUGACAGUGACCGUCGGAUGGCCUUCUGCAGAGGGUGGUCUGUAUUUCCCAGGCGCCAGAGAAGCACAGAUAAAACAACAGAAGUAUCCUGCUUGAAUCCUUCUGUUUGCUGGGAGGAAUAAGGACAGUAGUAUUCAGCUCCUCUUUUUUUAAAAAAAAAUUUUGACACAGGGUGUCACUGCAUAGCAGCAGAGGCUGGACCUGAACUCACAGCGAUCCUCCUGCCUCAGCCUCCCAAGGGCUGGGAAUUCAGGCGUGCGCUACCCACCCAGCAGUACUCUGCUUCUUUGACUCAAUGAGAGGGAACAAGUUCACAUGAAGCCAUGCCUUCCCCAUCUGCCUUCCCCGCCCUCCAGACUCAAGGGGACUCAAGGAAGAUGUGGAGCGAGGGACUGUGCCAAGCCCCCCCAUGCCUCAUGGACACACCUGCCUUCAGGGGAACGGAUGGCUGUGCCCAAUUCUCGGCCUCCACCAGUUUGGCCACAGGGUGUGGCCGGCAGGAUGGUCCUAGUUUAGCCUGUUUACAUCAAUUAACAACUCAUUUUUGUGGGUCGUUUUCACUGGGCAUCAGCUAGUUAGGAGGCUGAGGCAGGAGGAACACUGGAGAUAGGGGCAAAAACCCUUAACUUAGCUCCCACCAGUCGGCUGGUCAGAAAAAAGGGUCUGGGGCUUUCUUCCUUUUAGUCCCCUUGGUUGUGAGCCAAAAGAAGGUGUGGGCAAGGACAAAGCCACAAUCCUGGCCCCACUGAUAGAAGGCCUGAUCUCGAGGUGCACUGUGAGCUGCCAGGAUAAAUUUCUGCCCAGAUCAGAUCCGGACUUUAACCCCAGGGUAGAGACGACGUGACUCUGCUUUGUGACACAGUGCCCACUUCGACAUGCCAGGUGCAG